This 72-nucleotide transfer RNA is filed under the name Phrynosoma platyrhinos (Desert horned lizard). RNAcentral's name for it is "tRNA-OTHER". Lineage: Eukaryota; Metazoa; Chordata; Lepidosauria; Squamata; Phrynosomatidae. The record is from RNAcentral.
GCUAGUGUGGUGCAGUGGUUUGGGCAUUGGACUAUGACUCUGGAGAUCAGGGUUCAAAUCCCAGCUUGAUCA